RNAcentral lists this ribosomal RNA (618 nucleotides) under uncultured bacterium. RNAcentral describes it as "bacterial SSU rRNA". It matches the Rfam family "Bacterial small subunit ribosomal RNA", at positions 338 to 951 of the family's 1533-position model. The record is from RNAcentral.
CCUACGGGAGGCAGCAGUGGGGAAUUUUGGACAAUGGGCGCAAGCCUGAUCCAGCAAUGCCGCGUGAGUGAAGAAGGCCUUCGGGUUGUAAAGCUCUUUUGUCAGGGAAGAAACGGUGGGGGCUAAUAUCUCCUACUAAUGACGGUACCUGAAGAAUAAGCACCGGCUAACUACGUGCCAGCAGCCGCGGUAAUACGUAGGGUGCAAGCGUUAAUCGGAAUUACUGGGCGUAAAGCGUGCGCAGGCGGUUUUGUAAGUCUGUCGUGAAAGCCCCGGGCUCAACCUGGGAAUUGCGAUGGAGACUGCAAGGCUUGAAUCUGGCAGAGGGGGGUAGAAUUCCACGUGUAGCAGUGAAAUGCGUAGAGAUGUGGAGGAACACCGAUGGCGAAGGCAGCCCCCUGGGUCAAGAUUGACGCUCAUGCACGAAAGCGUGGGGAGCAAACAGGAUUAGAUACCCUGGUAGUCCACGCCCUAAACGAUGUCUACUAGUUGUCGGGUUUUAAUUAACUUGGUAACGCAGCUAACGCGUGAAGUAGACCGCCUGGGGAGUACGGUCGCAAGNUUAAAACUCAAAUGAAUUGACGGCUGAGAGNGCGACGACGACGACGAGGGAGGAGG